CUGUUUAUUCCUCCCAGGCUUGGCCUCACACACAGUAUUUUACAUUGUUGUAAUCGUACUAUACUGUACACCAUAGACCCACGGCCUUUGAAAUGUUUUGACUGUGACCCUACGAUAAAAAAAUGUAUUUUAUACCAUGGCCCAGUUACCCAUGAAACCAAAACCAAAGUUUCACAAGACAUUGAGUGAUGGAGCUGGAAGGCGUCUGAGAUACCAUCUCGCCUGGCUGCCUGACUGAGGCCCACAGAGAGAGAGUGUAGUAAAUUCUAUCUGAACAGGAAGCAGGUUGUUGAGCAGUUGUUUAGUGCAGUUCUCAGCUUAACACCCAGCACAGGAAAAACUGAUUCAAGAACAUUGUCCAUCAACUGUCAAUCAACAUUUAUUGUCAGAACACUCUUCACAGCAUUGGUUCCAAUCCCGGAAAAACCAGACUCUGUGCUUCCCAAUUAUCACAGGCACCGGCCCAGGAGAGGUGAGAAGAGGAAGAAAAACACUGUGUUCUUUGAGAAGUGACUCCUUCUGCAUUUGUUUGGCACCAAGAAA
RNAcentral lists this long non-coding RNA (543 nucleotides) under Homo sapiens (human). Its description in RNAcentral is "non-protein coding lnc-CMTR1-2:1". The record is from RNAcentral. Lineage: Eukaryota; Metazoa; Chordata; Mammalia; Primates; Hominidae.